AGCGCGCGGUGGGGUUGGGAGGAGGGGUGUAGGAGCUGGGUGUGAAGGCCAGGUGCUUAUAGAGCAGGCGGGUCUCAUAGGGAUGGAGAUAAAGAUACGAGAGCCCGUGAUUUUUUUCACCAAAGUUUGUGGGGAAACUCAAAAUUAGACAGGGGAUAUAGCGUCCCUGUGCGCCCCAGCAGAGAACGUUUGGGCAUUGCUGGAGAGGGGGAGGAAAAACCCUUAUUAGAAAGCAGUAUUCAGCUGAGGAGUCGUUAUCCGCCAAUAAAUACUCCUCUGGGGUGGCUAUUGGGGCAUGCCAGCUCCCCCCACUCCAUCCCUGACUGUCUGUCUGUCUGUCUGUCUGGGCGCAGUGCUCGGCGAGCUGCGGGGAAGGCGUCCAGCAGCGGCAGGUGGUAUGCAAAGGCAGCGAGAGUGGUGGGCGCUGCGAGGGGGACAAGCCGGAGGCCGUCCAGGGUUGCCACGUGGCCCUCUGUCCGGGAAACCUCUCCGGCAUCACCGCCAGCGCCGACGCCGACGACCACGGCACACCCAAAGGGCAGCGGGUGCCCCAGGACGGGGCCAAAAACCCCGUUAGCAAGAUCUCCUCCAGGGAGCCUUGCCUUGGGGACAAGUCCAUCUUCUGCCAGAUGGAGGUCCUGGCUCGCUACUGCUCCAUCCCCGGCUACAACAAGCUCUGCUGCGAAUCCUGCGGCAAGAAAGCCUCCUCCACCACCGGCUCGCCCCCCGCCACCGGCCCCAGCGCUCCCCCGGGAACCACCGCUCCCAGCCCCGCUCCGCCGCUCUCCCCCAAUCCCACCGUCCCUGCACGGGGGGGACCCGGUGGGGACCCCACGCCAGCACCUCGAGCCGGGCCGGUUGCCGGUGGAGGAGGGUUGCCCGGCAGCGGUGUUUUCCCCGGGGGGCUGCCAACCCUGAGGGAGCCGGGCAGGGGCCAGGCAGCCAGGUAACCCACUCGGGACCACCUCGCCGUGGGGCGGGGGAAGCCUUUCACCUCCCUCCCUUCCUCCCUUUCCUCCUCCUCCUCCCACUCUUUUUCCUCUCCUCUCCACUUCCAGUGAUGGUUUUCAUGGGUGGCGCUGCCAGGUUUGGAAAUGACCUGGCUCACCCAGAAAUUCCCGAGAAAACCACUUUUUUCUCAUCAUCUCCCCCACCCUCCCAUUUGUGGCGUGGGGUUUUUUUUGACAGUGCCACAGAAAAAAAGGUGAAAAGGAGNNNNNNNNNNNNNNNNNNAAGGUGCUAAAAAAAAGAUUUCGGGGGGGGGGGCUUUAAUGUUGUUUUUUCCUUCCCCAUGCCCCCGAGAUGUGCUGGAGAGGAGGGUCCUGGCUCGGGGUUCAGCCCCAGUGCUCGGAGCUUGGGAGUAGCAAUGGGAGGGUGCUGCGAAUUUGGGGGGACAAGCAACUGGAGGGAGGUGGUGAGAUGGGGAGGGGGAAAUGUCAGGAAAUGCCCAAACUGCUGCCCUGCACUGUCUCUGUUGGGGUAGAGGGUUUGGGAAGCAAGUCUGGGGGAAGGAUGGAGCGUGAAAACCAAUAGACCAGCUUCUGUCCUGCAUCGCAGGAUAGGCAGGAGAUGUUCCAGGCAACUUUAACGUGAGCAAUAAGAGCAAGGUCAAAGACCAAAUAUACAUGUAAAAAAAUGCCUGUCACCCGGCGGUGACUUUUUAGCCAAUACUGCCCUUGGCCAGCCUUGAGCUGAUACUGGUGCGCAGCCUCCCCAGGACCACCAGCCUCAUCCCUGCACCCUUGUACCCAGUGCCUGUGGGGCAUCAACUCCUUUCAGAGGGAAAUGGGGACGACUGGGAAGCCAGGAAUGGAUUUUAGGGGCAGUUACAAAGAAAGGAGAGAGGAAGAUUGAUGUGCGUCCUUUUUGUCGCUUGGGAGGGGCUGAAAGGGAGACGAUUAACGCCGUUAAAAAAUAUUGUGCCAAGUACUAAACGUAUGCACAGCACUUUAGGAGCCUAGGGCUGCGUGCAGCUUGCUUGGUGUCAGGCCAGCUCUGGGCACAGGGUCUGCCUGGAGGAGUUACGGUCCUCAAAACCUCCCCAGAGCGGGGUCAGGCAGCCUGCCGUGUCCCCGAGGGGGCUGCCGCGGUUUCGGUGCUUAGGGCUGUGCAGCAGGACGGGGCAUCUCGAGGGGCACUGCUCGAGCUCUUCAGGUGUCCAGGGCUUGCUGGCGAGGCAGCCGGGGGUGCUCAGCACGUUGGUUUUAGGGCACGCUGCUGUUCGAUGCUGGUGCUUUCAGUGCCGGGGCAGAGCGCUGCAGCGGUAGCGCUUGUGUGGCUGCAAGAAACUUGAGGUCGGGGCAUCUCGGAGGAGCUCACGUCGGUGUGCGAGCUCCCCUCAGCCUUUGCUGGUCCGGCGUGGAUUGCAGCAGGGGAGAGGUUGAGGUACGCGCUUUAAUUGAACCGAAUGGAGACCCCUGUGCUUUCCUGAUGUUUUAAGCAUUGGACUCCCUCUGCAAUGCUCCCCUGGAGCUACCCAACAGUACAGAAAGGGCUUGAAGAGAUGUUAAGAGGGCAGUUUGUGCACCCUCCUGCCCCCGGAUCGCCUUCAAGCCAAGGCUGGACGAGGAGCGUUUAUGGAACUACUCUUAAAAGCACCUGAGGCUGGAGGUCCCCUGCCCUUUGGCAUUAAGUGGGCUUCACGAAAGAUGAAACAAAGCCACGCGUCUGUCUGAGCCAAGCAACCAGCACACCUCGUGGGAGCAGACAGACGGAGGGAUGCCUAUGAAACGCUGCGGCGGGGUGCCCAGGUCCGAGGCGUUGCUGGUAUCGGUACCCACAGGAUUGACGAGACGCUCUGGAUGUCCCAGGGUGGGAUUCAGCCCUCGGACUGCUGGCACUGCCGCCGUGCCCCUUGCCAGCCUGUCCACCAGUACCGCCCUCCGCGGGAGUGCCAGCAUUUAUUUAUUGUGCCAAAGAUAACGCUUUGUUUACUCUUCAAGGAGCAUCUUUCCCCUGCGGUGCGGUGCAGGGUGUGCCGCAGCCUUCUCCUGCUGCCGGGACAGCCCUGGGCUGGCUCGGGGCAGGACUGAGCUUGCUUUGCCUUUCCCUGCCCCAAGCAAGUCUUUUCUCCAGCGUUCAGCCCCCUGCCCUGUAGCCUUGGAGGCAUUGAAUAAGAACACACCCCCCCCCCAUCAAAAAUGGGCUGUAAUGUCUCCAGGGCGCAGUAGAUGUGCGUGCAUGCGUGCGUGCUCGCUCCUUCCUCCCAAAUUCUCAUCUGCACCCCUCCUUUCAGUCCUGGGUGGGCGUUAGUGCUUUGUUGCGUUAGGAAUAUUUGCAGUGGUUCCUUGCUACACCUCGGAGGAGAGCGGUGGCUCAGGACUGGCCCAGUCCCCUCGCACCCCACAGCCGGGGUGCCCGGGGGGGGCUUCGGGGCAAGGGGGCUGCGCUGCAGGUGCUAACCCCUGCCUCUAGCCAAGAGAGGCGGGCGAGAUUUAAAGCAAGGUGCGAUAACCCCCCCCCUCCUUUGCCACAUGUGGAUGCUCUGGGGCGGUGAUGCUGCAGGGUUGGGACCCAGCACCGGGUAUUUAUUCCAGGCGAGCGCAAGAAGCGCCUAGGGCGGGCUGAGGUUGGGCGGCUUCUCGCCGUACGGAUGCCACGGUGCGUGGAAAGCUGCGGCGUGGGGAUGUAACGCUGUGACAGCCCAGCUCCCAGCAGGGAUUUGGCCCUGUCUUUGGGAGGAGGGGGUGCGUCUGGUCCCCCCCCCCAUCCUCCUGAGCCAGGCAGACGCACCAAGUCAUUCCUGUGAUGUAACCUUGUUCAGUGUUACAAUGAUGUAUAAAGUUUUGUACAUACGAGAUUCAGAGCUUUUUAACUUUUAAUAUUUAUUAAUUUUGUUGGGUUCUCUUUUUUUUUUUUU
RNAcentral lists this long non-coding RNA (3859 nucleotides) under Accipiter nisus (Eurasian sparrowhawk). Its description in RNAcentral is "lncRNA (ENSANIG00000006822.1)". Lineage: Eukaryota; Metazoa; Chordata; Aves; Accipitriformes; Accipitridae. The record is from RNAcentral.